GUGCCAUCUCUGAAAACCAGUGCUCUGCCCAGAGCCCCAGCAGCCAGAGUAUGCCACUGAACCCACACAGCAGGGUGAAUACUGAACCAAGGAUGCAGUUCAGAGGUCAGGAUGGGAAGAUGUGCCUGGGCUUCCACAGUGCCUCUGUGAAAGAAAAACUGAGACAAAAAAGAAAAACUGAGACGUUUCCUCCAAGACGUUCCUGCUCUCAGAAGGGGAAGGAGAGGAACUUGGACAGACAGUUGAUGUGAAAUUCAUUUUGUGGCCAGCUUUCCAGUAGACUAUGAGCUCCUCAAGCCCAGACCUCUGGUUUGGGCAAUUUAUCUCCAUUUUUUCAGAGGAAGACACUGAGACACAGAGAACUCUCCCAGAAGCCUUCUGCCCAUGGACACCUUACAUCAGAUUGCUUUCUGAGAGAAAAGAGAUGGAAUUCUGCUCUGACAGCACUGAUACUGAGCAACGUGUUUUCCUGGAACUCUGGGACAGAACGGAUGGCCUGAUUUCAAUCUGCCUUUCCAGAAGCCAUUUGCCUUGGCUUAUUCCUGACUCCAAGGGCAGAUGUGACCAUUCUUGGCUCUUUGACUUUUGAGGGGGUAGAGAUAUGGAGUGGUGCCACUUUGCUAUUACAUACUAAAGUCAUUCCCUUAACAACAAAAAAAGUUGGGGAGAGGACUCACAGUUUCCAAUUCAAGUGCUUUCCAAAAAAAUAAAAUAUGGGAAAAAUAUAGUUUAAAAUAUCUG
Molecule: long non-coding RNA, 741 nt
Filed under: Bos indicus x Bos taurus (hybrid cattle)
Lineage: Eukaryota; Metazoa; Chordata; Mammalia; Artiodactyla; Bovidae
Description: lncRNA (ENSBIXG00000009198.1)
Source: RNAcentral